RNAcentral lists this ribosomal RNA (253 nucleotides) under uncultured bacterium. RNAcentral describes it as "partial 16S ribosomal RNA". It matches the Rfam family "Bacterial small subunit ribosomal RNA", at positions 524 to 776 of the family's 1533-position model. The record is from RNAcentral.
UACGAAGGGGGCUAGCGUUGCUCGGAAUGACUGGGCGUAAAGGGCGCGUAGGCGGCGGUCACAGUCAGAUGUGAAAUUCCUGGGCUUAACCUGGGGGCUGCAUUUGAUACGUGGUUGCUUGAGUGGGGAAGAGGGUCGUGGAAUUCCCAGUGUAGAGGUGAAAUUCGUAGAGAUCGGCAGGAACACCCAGGGGGAAACCAGUCGACUGGGCAGCACCUGACGCUGAGGUGCGAGAGCGUGGGGAGCGAACCGG